Molecule: long non-coding RNA, 1240 nt
Filed under: Nicotiana benthamiana
Lineage: Eukaryota; Viridiplantae; Streptophyta; Magnoliopsida; Solanales; Solanaceae
Description: long non-coding RNA (NBEN_LNC025921)
Source: RNAcentral
AUGAAAAAACUUAUUUAAUUUUUUCUUUUUUACAAUUCCUAUUUUAUUCUCAUUAGCUGUAAUGCUACAAGUGGUAUUUAGAGCCUAGCUUUUCGGGCGCCGUGCUGAUAGUGAGCUUCUCUCCUUACAGUCAAGUGAAUUUCACUCCUUGACUAACUCCUGACAAUAGUUGCAGAAUCAAUGACACCAAUUUUUCCACAAACAAGUAGGGGUAUGUCUUUUUCUGCAGCUCAUCCUAGCAGUAAUACAACUACCAUACCCAUUUCUUCGCAUCUUGCUUCAUUAUCUUAUAACACUAGUUCAUCCCUAUAUCCAGUGGCUCCUUUCACUUACCCCUCCCCACAAUGACAACCAAUUUUUCGUUUGUACCUAUUGCUUUUCUACGCUAUGUUUCCAGUAUAGGCUUACCCACUUAUGUCGUGCAGAGUAACUCGACCACUGCACAGAUACCCGUGAGCCACACCUUUUUACCUCCUCUUGCUUACCAAGCCAUUAUGAUAAGUUCUUUUACACAACCUACUAUUCAGCCCAUUAUGGAGAACAACAUCCAAUCAAACUCCCUAACACUAGUCAAUACUUUGGGCUCAUUCAGAGGCCCAAAAGACUAAUUAAUAUUUUCAGAGUUUGAUUGUAAUAACCCUAGAGGAUGGAUCUGACGAUGUGAGAAAUACUUUAAAUUAUACCAAGUGACUUCAAGUGAAAAGAUGGGUUAUGUGGCUAUACACAUUAAUGAGAAAAUGAAUACUUGGUUCGAUGCAGGGGGAGGUACAGUCGUGGGUACGGGUUCGGGCGAACCCAGUAAUUUUUUUUGAAAUAUUGUAUUUGUAUUGAAAACUUUACCAUAUAUAUAUAAAUAUAGUAUGCUGAACCCAGUAACAAAUGAGAUAUAGGUUCAAUGGUAAGGGUUUUGGGUACGUGGGAAAAAGAUGGUGACUCGAUUCCUCUUUAAAGUAGUAUGUUAUUUUAUUUUUUUAAAUAGUUUUUUCAUAAAACAACUGAACAUUUUCUUUACUUUCCUUUCAUUGUAUUUAAAAGGAGAAAGUGCACUAUUACAUAAAGCAAAAGGUAGUAGAAAAUACUUUAUUGUGCCUUGUGCGCUGUGAAAAAGGUUCUGCACUAUCACAUAAUGCAAAGAGGUAAUAGAAAGCACUUUAUUGUUCGUUGUGCGCUUCUCUUUCGGAUAAUAGUAUUUAUAAUCAAUACUACUCUUCGUUCCACUUUUUACUUUCCCCUUUCUCUC